UUNAGANUUUAGUGGCGAACGGGUGAGUAACACGUAAGCAACCUGCCUUUAAGACGAGAAUAACAAUUGGAAACAGUUGCUAAGGCUGAAUAGGAAAUAAAAAGGCAUCUUUUUAUUUUUAAAAGACCUUCUUCGGAGGGUAUGCUUAAAGAGGGGCUUGCGUCACAUUAGUUAGUUGGUAGGGUAAUGGCCUACCAAGACGAUGAUGUGUAGCUGGACUGAGAGGUUGAACAGCCACAUUGGGACUGAGACACGGCCCAAACUCCUACGGGAGGCAGCAGUAGGGAAUUUUCGGCAAUGGAGGAAACUCUGACCGAGCAACGCCGCGUGAACGACGAAGUACUUCGGUAUGUAAAGUUCUUUUAUUGAAGAAGAAACAAUAGUGGAAAAACUAUCUUGACGUUAUUCAAUGAAUAAGCCCCGGCUAACUAUGUGCCAGCAGCCGCGGUAAUACAUAGGGGGCGAGCGUUAUCCGGAAUUAUUGGGCGUAAAGGGUGCGUAGGCGGUUUAAUAAGUCUCUAGUUUAAUUUCAACGCUUAACGUUGUCCUGCUAGAGAAACUGUUUGACUAGAGUGAGAUAGAGGUAAGCGGAAUUCCAUGUGUAGCGGUAAAGUGUGUAAAUAUAUGGAGGAACACCAGAGGCGUAGGCGGCUUACUGGGUCUUUACUGACGCUGAUGCACGAAAGCGUGGGGAGCAAACAGGAUUAGAUACCCUGGUAGUCCACGCCGUAAACUAUGAGUACUAAGUGUCGGGGUUAAACUCGGUACUGAAGUUAACACAUUAAGUACUCCGCCUGAGUAGUACGUACGCAAGUAUGAAACUUAAAGGAAUUGACGGGAUCCCGCACAAGCGGUGGAUCAUGUUGUUUAAUUCGAAGAUACACGAAAAACCUUACCAGGUCUUGACAUACUCUGCAAAACUAUAGAAAUAUAGUGGAGGUUAUCAGGGAUACAGGUGGUGCAUGGUUGUCGUCAGCUCGUGUCGUGAGAUGUUAAGGUUAAGUUCUAAAACGAGCGCAACCCCUGUCGUUAAUUGCCAGCACGUUAUGGUGGGGACUUUAGCGAGACUGCCAAUGAAAAAUUGGAGGAAGGUGGGGAUUACGUCAAAUCAUCAUGCCCCUUAUGAUCUGGGCUACAAACGUGAUACAAUGGCUAUUACAAAGAGUAGCUUAAACGCGAGUUUUUGGCAAAUCUCAAAAAAAUAGUCUUAGUUCGGAUUGAAGUCUGCAACUCGACUUCAUGAAGUUGGAAUCGCUAGUAAUCGCGAAUCAGCAUGUCGCGGUGAAUACGUUCUCGGGGUUUGUACACACCGCCCGUCAAACCACGAAA
This 1329-nucleotide ribosomal RNA is filed under the name 'Sabal mexicana' decline phytoplasma. RNAcentral's name for it is "bacterial SSU rRNA". It matches the Rfam family "Bacterial small subunit ribosomal RNA", at positions 84 to 1409 of the family's 1533-position model. The record is from RNAcentral. Lineage: Bacteria; Bacillati; Mycoplasmatota; Mollicutes; Acholeplasmatales; Acholeplasmataceae.